Long non-coding RNA from Hirundo rustica (Barn swallow), 8253 nucleotides. RefSeq lists it as uncharacterized. The transcript is spliced from 3 exons. Lineage: Eukaryota; Metazoa; Chordata; Aves; Passeriformes; Hirundinidae. The record is from RefSeq and is a predicted model, not a curated record.
AAGAGUUGCUGCACGUGUACAAAUCACCACUGAAUGGAUUCCGUCUAUUGCCCGUCAAUCUAGCCGCUGUCGAUGUUUAAUUCUUUGUGCCAUGUGUCUGUGGAAGGUAAUAAAAGCUUUGAGCAGCAGUUGCACAAUAAAGAUUUGUCAUGGGGAUAUCACCUCUGUCUUGCGCGUCUUACUGAGGGGAAGUAGUUCUGCAAGUUCAAAUGUUGUCUCCUGGGAAUGCAAGCAUGUGAAAUGUUUCAGCCUGUUAACAGCAUUUCAUUGAUAGUGAUUUGCCUGUUCAUUUGAAGUGUGUUGCUGGUGUUGCUGGGAGCACGCUUAGCAGUCUCCUGCGUCUAGUAGGAAGCAGUCUUAGCUCUUUGGCAGUUUUGGCAGUAGGUUUUACCUUUCAUCCUACGUUGCCAAAAAUUUCCUUCAAACUGGAGAGAGCCAGUGGUUAUGAAACUGUGUUUCACUGGAGAAUUGUAUAAUCCUAGAGCAGCCCAGGUUUGAAGGGACCUCAAAAGAUCAUCUGGUUGAGCCUUUUGUUGAAAAGGGAUCAUAGAUGAGAUUAUCUAACACUCUUUCCAUUAGGAUCUUGAAAACCUUCAGCGAUGGGUGUUGUAAUUCAUUAAUUGGGUUUAUAUUGUGUUUUAUCGGAUUUGUAAUCUGUAUCAUGUAGUUUUUCCUUACUCAUCUGUAACCUAACUCUUCCACUGCCACUUCUCCCUGAUUGGGUGAUGUCUUGUCCCUGUCUCUGGGCCCUGCCCCCUGGGGAAAAAGCCCCCGGACGGGCGGGGCCAGGCUCUUUCUGGCACCGGCAAGCGAUCGGGACGGGCUCCAACCAAGCAGGGCAGGACUCGAGAAUAAAAGCGGUAAUAUCCCACCCGGUGAGGGAGAGCGGAUUCUUUUACAUUUGCCAUCGGCGGCCGUCUAGUCUCGUGGGGAAAUACAACUGGCGCUUACGUGCGGCUCGAAGCCACAAAAGGUUCCCAAAAAGCUGGAAGAACCACUCAGGGAGCACGUGGCCGAGGAAUCCCACGCAGAGACAGACCCGUCAGGCUUGGCGUUCGCUGUGGAGUCUCCGAAACAUAGGAUUCCACGGGCAGGGCUGCAGUUUUCUCCUUUGGACUCAAAAAUCCCAUCAGAGUGCUGUGAAGAAGCCCUCGACCGGCAAGCUGCUCCCAGAGAAAGUGACCACAUGUUUGUGGAAAACUAACCCUGGGAACCGAGACUGGAAGCUCUUUUUGCACCAAAAAGGGUCAGUCUCAAGCAAAAGGAGUGAUUGGGAAAGAAAGGAAAGGAACGCUGGAUUUUCGGUGAGUACCACUUUCGGUUUUUUAAGGGAAAAUCUUUUUAAGGGGCAUUAAACCUCAGAGAAAAGAGUUUCUCCUUUCGCAGAAGGUUUUUGCUUUCAGAGUAAAAACCUUCAAAGUGCUUUCUUUUGGCAGCCUGGGGGUGAGUGAAAAAGGAAACUGUUUCCCCUUUUUGGCUUUUUUUUUCUCUCUCUAGUGAGGGUAUUUUCCUUUCAGUUUCUCAGUCACAGUUAAAAAGGGGACAUAGAAACUUAAAAUCUGAGCCAAAAAUGGGUUCUAGGCUAUCUGUGUCUCAACGAAGAGCCUAUUAUCAGAUUUUAAGUGUCUCAGAUGAUGGGAAAACCCAUUUUUCCGAGAAGCAAUUAAAAAAUUUCCUUCGGUGGUUAUUUGCUCAGUUUCCAGAUGCAUCAUCUGAGCAAAUAAGCUCCCCAGAACGUUGGGAAACUGUUGUUAAAAAAUUGUCUCAAUCAAGCUCCCCUAAUGAUAAAGAAAAAGCAAAUUUUGCUCUUUGGAGCUUGCAGAUUUUAUUUGCAAUGCAAAAACAAAAAGAAAAGAAAAAAACCCCAGUCCCUUGUGGACUUUCCCCAGUCUCCUCAGUUUCUCCCUAUCCUGACCCCAAAAUCCCUUCCCCAAAAUCAAAUAUUCCUUGAGAAACCCCAAAACUUUCCCCAAAACUCCCUUCUUCCCCAGUUUGUAAACCCUGGGUUCGGUUUGCUUUUGCAGGCAGUCCGACUACACAGAACCCCCAUCUUAGUGAAUCCCAAACUAGUCUUAGUUCGGAAGGGGGGGUCACAAGAUGGAGGGGACUCCUUUGUGCCCCAAAAUGGCCAAAACCACGUGCUCUCGACGCAUGAGGAGCCUCUCUCUUUGUUUGUCCCUCCUUCCUGCAAUCCCUUUCUCAAUCCCUUCAUCCCUUCCUCUCCCCAGACCCCCCCUUCCAUUUGGUGCUGCCCCUGGCACUGCCCUCUCCUCUGACUCCCCCCCUCCCCUCAAACCUCUGCCCUCUGACUCCACCCCUUGUGAGUCAAGCCUCCAGCCCCUCCUUGCCUCUGGUUCCCACAGUUUCCCCGCCCACAGUCCCAGUUCCCACGCCCUGGGGAAAAGGGGCGGGGGGGGGGGGGGGGAGAUGGGAACCCAGAAGCAGGAAAUUAUCCCGGCUUUUCUGCCACCCCUGUCACAUACCGACGGUCAAAAAGAGGGGGUGCUGUCCACAGUAACUGGGACCCCUUUCCCCAACAAGUGAUUCAGGAUUUGUGCAAAGCUCAGGUCAAAUUUGGACGUGAAAGUGAAUACUUUCGCAGCCUUUUAAAAGCAAAUUUAGCAGGGAAUCCUAUUGUUCCCUUUGACCUCCAGCAGCUUUUUUCUGCCCUCCUUUCAUCCACACAGUUUAGGCUUUGGGACUCCACAUGGAAAAAAAGAUUAAGAGAUUUACUCCCGGAGCUUUGGCAAAAUCCUGAAACAGCUGUUGAUAAUAAUAAUUUGCCAAUUCGGUUAGAACAUCUAUGUGGUGAUGGUGAAUGGGUCGCAGCACUCAAGCAAGCUCAAGAAAUUCCUUUAGCUGUUUUAGAAUGCAUUAAAGAGGCUGCUUUCAAAGCAUUCUUUUCAAUCCAGCCGACGGGUCCUUCCAACCUUACAGUAAAAUAAAGCAGCUUCCAUCAGAACCUUUUGUAACAUUUGUGGAGCAAUUGACCCGAGCUAUCGAGUUACAGGUUAAGAAUGAAGGAGCCCAAGAACAGGUCCUGGAGGAGAUGGCGCUGACCAAUGCAAACGAACAGUGCAAGGCAGCCAUCCUCAGCCUCCCUAUGGAACCGGCUCCAACCUUAGAUGACAUGCUGCAUGUAUGCACCCAGAAGGUCCCUUUCAUGACAGCACACCUUAAUCACAGUUCCAGAGAUGCAUUCAGACCACCGCAAAGAGCUGCCACAGCAGAUGCCAUGCCCCCUGUGCCUGUGCCACAGCCACCACCCAAGAGAAGAACAACGUGGCUCCUGUGUGAUCAGGCUGGACAUUGGGCAUCUCAAUGCCCUUUAAAGAAGCAAUUUCUGGACUUUCGGGACAAUGGGGGUGGGAGGUCUCAAGAGUUCAAAGGGAAUUUUUCAAAAAACUAAAACGUCAGUGCUUACUUGCCCAGUGUGCCGACAUAAAUAGGGCAAAUCCAAAGAGGGAGGAUAAAAAACUAGAAAAUGCAAAUGUUAAAUUAACUAAUCCUGCUAUAACCAGUUCUGCCUUUCAGCAGAAGUCACCAGAUAUGACCCUUUCAGAUCAUGACAUGACCAGACCCUGUCUAACCACAGAAUGUCUCCAAAAGCCUUUUAGGUUGCAACUGACAGAAUCCUUGCACCUAAGUGACACAGACUGGCAUUUAGGUUCAUUGGAUCUACAAGUGCUAGGCUCCUGGCAACACGUUGGCAGUAAGUAUGUCAUCCUUGGGACACCAAGCACACACCGAGAGAGGUCAAGAUCCUUCCGGGUCUCGUCUCAUCAAACCCUAAACAACUAGUUCUCUGGCUGCUCUGUGUCUGCCCACCUUUGUUUCUGUCUGAGGGGCAGAUAAUAGCUCAAGCAAUUCCAGCAUCUAACCCGUUCCCUGAAAAAAACAGCACAAGGAACAAACACAUUGAUGUUUGCCCCACACGAGUUAUUGGGGACAAACUCAUAAUAGGGUGUGAGGUCCAUCACGGUGGGGAAGUAGUAAACCUCAAAGGGGUUUUGGACACAGGCGUGGCGGAUGUAACGAUUGUACCAGAAAGGAUGUGGCCCUCGCAUUGGGAACUGCAAAAUGUGGCUGGGCAUAUAGAAGGUAUAGGGGGAAUGAAAUGGGCAAAACAAUCAAAAAGUGUUGUGCAAAUUAAGGGGCCAAAGGGACAAUUGGCUACACCUUGCUUCCAUUUGUUUUAGAUUAUUCAGAGCCCUUGUGGGGGAGAGACCUGAUGGCCCAGUGGGGGGUCACGAUUGGCAUUCCAGAUGCCCCCCUGGUUUUUCAGGCUUCAGCCACUGAAGAGCACCCUACCCAGAAACUCAAUUGGGAAACUGAUUCACCAGUCUGGGUAGAGCAGUGGCCACUCAGUAAAGAGAAAUUGAAGGCGCUUCAGGAGCUAGUGGAUGAACAGCUAGCUAAAGGCCACAUUGUGGAAACCACGUCUCCGUGGAAUUCCCCAGUCUUUGUUAUCAAAAAGGCAAACAAAGGCAAGUGGCAGCACCUCCACGAUCUCUGUCAAAUUAAUAAUGCCAUUGAGGACAUGGGUUCUCUCCAGCCAGGGAUGACAUCCCCAGCGAUGGUCCCCCAAAAUUGGAAUUUGGCAAUUAUUGAUAUCAAAGAUUGUUUUUUCCAGAUCCCUCUGCACCCUGACGAUGCACCACAUUUCACCUUCUCGGUCCCUACCCUCAACUGAGAAGCCCCGAGGAAAAGAUACCACUGCAAAUUUCUUUCCCAAGGGAUGAAAAACUCGCCAUCUAUUUGUCACAGGGUUGAGCUUCAGGAGGAAAAGAUUCAAAGGAUGCCACCUUGGAAGUACCUGGGUCUGGAGAUUGGUACUCAAGGUCCCAACUCUGAGCAUCUCCCACGAACUGAGCCUUCCUCCUUCUUAAUUUAAUAAGAAAAGGGGAAAUGUUGUAAUGCAUUAAUUGAGUUUAUAUUGUGUUUUAUUGGAUUUGUAAUCUGUAUCAUGUAGUUUUUCCUUACUCAUCUGUAACCUAACUCUUCCACUGCCACUUCUCCGUGAUUGGGUGAUGUCUUGUCCCUGUCUCUGGGCCCUGCCCCCUGGGGAAAAAGCCCCCGGACGGGCGGAGCCAGGCUCUUUCUGGCACCGGCGAGUGAUCGGGACGGGCUCCGACCAAGCAGGGCAGGACUCGAGAAUAAAAGUGGUAAUAUCCCACCCGGUGAGGGAGAGCGGACUCUUUUACUUUUGCCAUCGGCGGCUGUCUAGUCUUGUGGGGAAAUACAACAGAUGGGGACUGGUGCAACCUCUGCCCACUGUUCCUUGUCUUCUCCAUGUGGCUCUGUGUGAAGAGAGAGUCUCCAUACUCUGUAGCUUCCGUUUAAGUACUGGAAUACUGUGAUGAGGUUCCCCCUGAGCCUAGACAAGUUCCUAACAUUUUGCAACUAAUUCCUUUGUCUAUGCUAGUCUUAUGCGGCCUCUCACUGCUUUCAGAUGUUCCUCUACAGCUUUCCAAUUGUGCCAGUUCUCUCAAGCACAGUUAUCUGACAACAUAGGACUUGGACUUAUUCCCUGCUUCUGAAAGUAGUCAGUGUUAUUGCUUGCCAUCCUGCUGACUAAACCAAUUUUUUGCGAAUAAGUGUUUUAGGUCGCUUAAAAAAUCACAAAUGUGUUGGCAAAAGCAGGUUUAAUAUUAAAGUGAAAACACAACAAAGUUCGUUGGCGAAGUUUACUGUGCUACUUACCAGAUGGUUAAAGCACUCAGAGAAAAGGCAAAUGAAAAUCUAAAAUCAAUCAAUCUAAAACUAAAAUCAACUCAAAAACUGUCUAUGUUGAGGCUGGGUGGGGUGGAAGGAUAUGGAUAAAAAGGAAUAAGGAAGACCCGUCGGUUGAGUCGUCUCCAUGUUGCUCCUUAUGAAGAAGAGUGCCUCUGUCCUCUUUGUAUCUGCCUUUUGAGAGCCAGAAUACUGUCAUGAUGUUUCUCCUGAGCCAUCUCUUUUCUAAGGGAGAAAGGACCCAACUCCUUCAGCCUUUCCUCACAUUCUCCAGCCUUUUGAUCAUCUUUCUUGCCCUCCUUGGGACCUUCUCUUAUCUGUCUGCAUCUUUUGUUGAAUUCCAGAACUGGACACAGCACUUCAGGUUCUGCCUGCAGGCAUGGCCUCUGAGAAGAGGCCAGGGUCUGCUCAAUGCUGGACAUAGCUAGUUUCUGCCAGCUAGGCACCAGACUCCUCAAGGGCCAAAGCUGAGCAACUCAGUAAAGCUGGUGGCACCCCUGUGUAAGCAUAUUUAAGAAAAAGCAAAAUGCUGUCUGGGGCAGGUACUUCCCUGCUGCCCUUGGAUCUGGCAGGUGGCUAUGUCCUGAAGUAAUUUUUUUCACCCUAUUUUCUCCCCCUGUCCUGUUGAGGAGGGACGGUGAGAAAACAGCUGGUUGAGCCCCUGGCAGCCAGUCAAGAUCUGGCAUCAGAAAGCCUAAAAAGCAGGUUCGUCCAUGUAGAAGUAGAAGGGGGGUUGGUGGUUUAGGGACUGAUAGUGACCAGGGUAGGAACAGAACGUUUUGGAAGUAGCAAAUUCCAUCAAUAUCUGUGGAUCCAGUCACUUUGAGAGGGGGAAAUUUCAAUGGAAAAAGCCUUCUUAGCAAUAAGAUCCUUCUUGUAAGAAGGAUCUAGUCUACAUUUUUUUCACUUGGUAAUACAAAUGGCAAAGAUCUGGAACUCCUGCAUUGAAAGGGAUGCCACUGAGCAGAGCCUGUUGGGUGCUCUGUGUGUGUGUGUUGGAUACCCAGGACCAGCUAUAAAGAGGUCAUGGAGGAGAUGUGAGGUUGGUCUGGCUAAACUUGAUUAAGACAGGAUCUUACAGAAGGCAAUGCCUUGAGGCUGUGAAGGGUAAAAGGAUAAGUCAGGCUGAUGAUGUUCCCGACCCUUUUGUUUGGAAGGAUUGGGACUGAAUGUUGAUUUGCGUGAAGGGCAGGUACCAAUCUGUCUUCUAUAAUUGCAAUUUCAGCAGCAAGGGACACCCAAAGCUGAGUAUCAGGCCCCAAUAAUGCUUUAUUGGGUGUGGCUGAGAUGAAGUUCAUUUCCCCACAGUAGCUCUCACAGUGCUGUGCUUUGCAUUGGUAGCUAGAAAGGUGUUGAUAACACACCAGUGUUUUGACUGCUGCUGAGCAGCAUUAGCACAGCAUCAGCACUGUCUCUCUAAUGAUUCCACCCAAUCAUCAGUAGGCUGGGGCUGGCAUGAUCUUGGGAGGAGAUGCAACCAAGACAGCUGACCCAAAUUGGCCCAAGGGAUUUUUCAUACUGUAUGACAUCAGCUGAGAUAUAAAAGCUAAGUAAAGGAGGAGGAAGGGGAGGAAUUUGUUAUUUACAAUGUUUGCCUUCUGUAGCAUCUGCUAUGCUUGCUGAAAGAAGCCCUGCUUCCCAGCAAGUGGCCAAACAGCACUUGCUGAUGGUGUUAGGAAAAUUAAUCCACAAACACCAGAGGUUUAUGUCCAAAAAGGAGACAGAGGAGUCCUUUUACUUUAUUCGAAUAAAGGGAGAGGCCAUGGGGCAUUUCCCCUGGGGUCUCUCAGAUUUUUGGAGGAUGCAGCCUCCUUUUUAUCCUAAUUUCCCAGCCACAUUUCCCUCUCUCUUUCCCCAUUGGCUGAGGUACUUGAGAGGUACAGACUUCCCAAAACACCCAAGACCUAAGAUUCCCCUUUUAAUGUAUAACCCCCCCAAUUUUUAAUUUUUAUGGGAUUUAUGGGUUUUUCCCCAUUGUUGCUUUCAUCUUUCAAUAUCCAAUUUCAUUUAUAAACAAACCUAUGGUUUGUUUGUAAAGGCAAGUAUCUUCUUUUCCAUUCAUCAAUCAGUAGAAUCCUUCCCAUUGUUUCUCUUAUCUCUCAGUGCUAGUUUUAUCUACCAGCAGACUCAGGGCUUGUUUGUAAAGACAAAUCUUGUCAUUCCUCUCAAUCCUUCCUCUUUUAUUUUUAAUAAUUGUCUUUACAAAUUUUAGUUAUCAUUGACUUAAUUUUCUGUUAUUGGGUCUUUUUUGGUUUUGCAAUUAUUUGCAGUGACAUCAGUUUCUGUCCUUUUGUAGCCAUCUCUGGAUCAGUAGGCAUGGCUACUACCUGCAUCCCUUUGAUCACAUGUUGAAUAAGUUGUACUAAGCAGGGGAUCAUGCAUGGUAGAAAGAUAAGAGUUGCUACAACACAUAAGAGGAAAGAAAAACAUUUGUUUAACUCAUAGUUCACUGGGUAACUAUGAAAACAUCUCCUAUUCUAUCUUUUUUUAUGUUUGGACUGGCACUUGAGCUAACUUAUU